GUCCAUCCAGAGGCUCCUGUGCCGGAGGAGGACGCUCCGGGGGAGGCAGGGCGCGACAAUUUCGCUGGCGGCGAGCCAGGAAGCGGCACGGCGUGCGAGUUUACGCAAUCACGGACGAUGUGGCCGAAGAAACGGCAGCGGACAUCUUUGCGGCAUUCGGAGCGCGAGUGACCUCGGCCGAGGCACCGGGGGCACUCGUCCGAACACAGGGGCGCGGUGGGGCGCACACCAGCGGGACGACGAGGGCGGUGCUACUGGGGGCGGCGGUCUCGGCGCCUACGGGGCGAGAUCCAGCCGGAAGCCGCCACCAUCGUCAACGGGUCCGGCACCCCCCUCCUCCAUCGGAGACACGCGGUGGAUUCCAGAACAGGGGCCGUGGAGAGGCGCCGGCGGCG
RNAcentral lists this long non-coding RNA (395 nucleotides) under Hordeum vulgare. Its description in RNAcentral is "long non-coding RNA (HVUL_LNC003453)". Lineage: Eukaryota; Viridiplantae; Streptophyta; Magnoliopsida; Poales; Poaceae. The record is from RNAcentral.